GACCAGACUCCUACGGGAGGCAGCAGUGGGGAAUAUUGCACAAUGGGGGAAACCCUGAUGCAGCGACGCCGCGUGAGUGAAGAAGUAUUUCGGUAUGUAAAGCUCUAUCAGCAGGGAAGAAAAUGACGGUACCUGACUAAGAAGCCCCGGCUAACUACGUGCCAGCAGCCGCGGUAAUACGUAGGGGGCAAGCGUUAUCCGGAUUUACUGGGUGUAAAGGGAGCGUAGACGGCAUGGCAAGUCAGAUGUGAAAGCCCGGGGCUCAACCCCGGGACUGCAUUUGAAACUGUCAGGCUGGAGUGCAGGAGAGGUAAGUGGAAUUCCUAGUGUAGCGGUGAAAUGCGUAGAUAUUAGGAGGAACACCAGUGGCGAAGGCGGCUUACUGGACUGUAACUGACGUUGAGGCUCGAAAGCGUGGGGAGCAAACAGGAUUAGAUACCCGAGUAGG
Molecule: ribosomal RNA, 448 nt
Filed under: uncultured bacterium
Lineage: Bacteria
Description: bacterial SSU rRNA
Rfam family: Bacterial small subunit ribosomal RNA
Source: RNAcentral